This 492-nucleotide ribosomal RNA is filed under the name uncultured bacterium. Its description in RNAcentral is "partial 16S ribosomal RNA". It matches the Rfam family "Bacterial small subunit ribosomal RNA", at positions 29 to 507 of the family's 1533-position model. The record is from RNAcentral.
AGUGAACGCUGGCGGUAGGCCUAACACAUGCAAGUCGAACGGCAGCACAGUAAGAGCUUGCUCUUACGGGUGGCGAGUGGCGGACGGGUGAGGAAUACAUCGGAAUCUACUUUUUCGUGGGGGAUAACGUAGGGAAACUUACGCUAAUACCGCAUACGACCUACGGGUGAAAGCAGGGGAUCUUCGGACCUUGCGCGAUUGAAUGAGCCGAUGUCGGAUUAGCUAGUUGGCGGGGUAAAGGCCCACCAAGGCGACGAUCCGUAGCUGGUCUGAGAGGAUGAUCAGCCACACUGGAACUGGGACACGGUCCAGACUCCUACGGGAGGCAGCAGUGGGGAAUAUUGGACAAUGGGCGCAAGCCUGAUCCAGCCAUACCGCGUGGGUGAAGAAGGCCUUCGGGUUGUAAAGCCCUUUUGUUGGGAAAGAAAAGCAGCAGGUUAAUACCCCGCUAUUCUGACGGUACCCAAAGAAUAAGCACCGGCUAACUUCGUG